This 232-nucleotide ribosomal RNA is filed under the name uncultured bacterium. RNAcentral describes it as "partial 16S rRNA". It matches the Rfam family "Bacterial small subunit ribosomal RNA", at positions 505 to 736 of the family's 1533-position model. The record is from RNAcentral.
GUGCCAGCAGCCGCGGUAAUACGUAGGUGGCAAGCGUUGUCCGGAUUUACUGGGCGUAAAGGGUGUGUAGGCGGAUAUUUAUGUGAGAUGUGAAAUCCCCGGGCUUAACUUGGGGGCUGCAUUUCAAACUGGAUGUCUUGAGUGCAGGAGAGGAAAGCAGAAUUCCUAGUGUAGCGGUGAAAUGCGUAGAGAUUGGGAAGAAUACCAGUGGCGAAGGCGGCUUUAUGGACUG